AUUGAACGCUGGCGGCAUGCUUUACACAUGCAAGUCGAACGGUAACAGGCUUUCGGGUGCUGACGCGUGGCGAACGGGUGAGUAAUGCAUCGGAACGUACCCAGAGGUGGGGGAUAACGCAGCGAAAGCUGUGCUAAUAUCGCAUGUGAUCUGAGGAUGAAAGCGGGGGACCGAGCAGCAAUGUUUGGCCUCGCGCCUUUGGAGCGGCCGAUGUCGGAUUAGCUAGUUGGUGGGGUAAAGGCCUACCAAGGCGACGAUCCGUAGCUGGUCUGAGAGGACGACCAGCCACACUGGGACUGAGACACGGCCAAGACUCCUGCGGGAGGCCGCAGUGGGGAAUUUUGGACAAUGGGCGCGAGCCUGAUCCAGCAAUGCCGCGUGCGGGAAGAAGGCCUUCGGGGUGUAAACCGCUUUUGGCAGGAACGAAACGGUGUCCGCUAAUACCGGGCGCUAAUGACGGUACCUGCAGAAUAAGCACCGGCUAACUACGUG
Molecule: ribosomal RNA, 492 nt
Filed under: uncultured bacterium
Lineage: Bacteria
Description: partial 16S ribosomal RNA
Rfam family: Bacterial small subunit ribosomal RNA
Source: RNAcentral